GCAGGUACAGAGGGAUGCUAUCGGGCGACCGGAUGCGGAUCUCGAAAGCCUGUCCCAGUUCGGACUGGAGUCUGCAACCCGACUCCACGAAGUUGGAUUCGCUAGUAAUCGCGCAUCAGCCAUGGCGCGGUGAAUACGUUCCCGGGCCUUGUACACACCGCCCGUCAAGCCAUGGGAGCCGGGGGCGCCUGAAGUCCGGGACCGCGAGGACCGGCCUAGGGCGAAACUGGUAACUGGGGCUAAGUCGUAACAAGGUACC
Molecule: ribosomal RNA, 259 nt
Filed under: uncultured bacterium
Lineage: Bacteria
Description: partial 16S ribosomal RNA
Rfam family: Bacterial small subunit ribosomal RNA
Source: RNAcentral